CCUACGGGUGGCAGCAGUGGGGGAUAUUGCACAAUGGGGGGAACCCUGAUGCAGCGACGCCGCGUGGGUGAAGGAGCGUUUCGGCGCGUAAAGCCCUAUCGGCAGGGAAGAAGGAGGACGGUACCUGACUAAGAAGCCCCGGCUAACUACGUUCCAGCAGCAGCGGUAAUACGUAGGGGGCAAGCGUUAUCCGGGUUUACUGGGUGUAAAGGGGGCGCAGACGGCAGCGCAAGCCAGGAGUGAAAGCCCGGGGCCCAACCCCGGGACUGCUCUUGGAACUGCGCGGCUGGAGUGCAGGAGGGGCAGGCGGAAUUCCUGGUGUAGCGGUGAAAUGCGUAGAUAGCACGAAAAACUCCGAUUGCGAAGGCAGUUCACUGGACUGCAACUGACACUGAGGCUCGAAAGUGUGGGUAUCAAACAGGAUUAGAUACCCCUGUAGUC
This 441-nucleotide ribosomal RNA is filed under the name uncultured bacterium. RNAcentral describes it as "partial 16S ribosomal RNA". It matches the Rfam family "Bacterial small subunit ribosomal RNA", at positions 338 to 795 of the family's 1533-position model. The record is from RNAcentral.